GCAGUGAUGGUUCAGUGGUAGAAUUCUCAUCUUCCAUGCGGGAGAUCCAGGUUCAAUUCCUGGCCAAUGUA
This 71-nucleotide transfer RNA is filed under the name Loxodonta africana (African savanna elephant). It matches the Rfam family "tRNA". Rfam says of the family: Transfer RNA (tRNA) molecules are approximately 80 nucleotides in length. Their secondary structure includes four short double-helical elements and three loops (D, anti-codon, and T loops). The record is from Rfam by way of RNAcentral. Lineage: Eukaryota; Metazoa; Chordata; Mammalia; Proboscidea; Elephantidae.